GUGCCAGCAGCCCGCGGUAAUACGGAGGGUCCGAGCGUUAAUCGGAAUUACUGGGCGUAAAGCGUGCGCAGGCGGUUUGUUAAGCCAAGAUGUGAAAUCCCCGGGCUCAACCUGGGAAUUGCAUUUGGAACUGGCGAACUAGAGUCUUGUAGAGGGGGGUAGAAUUCCAGGUGUAGCGGUGAAAUGCGUAGAUAUCUGGAGGAAUACCGGUGGCGAAGGCGGCCCCCUGGACAAAGACUGACGCUCAUGCACGAAAGCGUGGGGAGCAAACAGGAUUAGAUACCCUGGUAGUCC
RNAcentral lists this ribosomal RNA (294 nucleotides) under uncultured microorganism. Its description in RNAcentral is "partial 16S ribosomal RNA". It matches the Rfam family "Bacterial small subunit ribosomal RNA", at positions 505 to 796 of the family's 1533-position model. The record is from RNAcentral.